This 967-nucleotide long non-coding RNA is filed under the name Jatropha curcas. RNAcentral's name for it is "long non-coding RNA (JCUR_LNC000704)". Lineage: Eukaryota; Viridiplantae; Streptophyta; Magnoliopsida; Malpighiales; Euphorbiaceae. The record is from RNAcentral.
CUGGGCAACAGGCGUCCUUAGCACUACCACCAAUCCCAAUAUGCACUAAACCACCUAACACAUCAACACAUGCUCCUAGCUUUAGAGCAUCAAUAGGGCAAGUCUCUUGCUUUGGGGGUGGAGGUGGGCAUGGCACUGGAGGUGGCGGAGGAGGGCAUGGUGUUUCAGUUGGCGGUGGCUUCACAACAGGAGGCUUUGGUGGUAGAGUUGGCGGUGCUGGUGUUACCGGCGGCGUAGGAUAAUACGGUGGUGUAGGGGUAACAGGAGGCUUUGGUGGUAGAGUCGGAGGCUUGAUCACCGGUGGUUUUGGUGUCGGUGUUACCGGAGGGGUAGGAUAAGGCGGCGGAGUUGGGGUAACAGGAGGCUUUGGUGGUAAAGUUGGUGGGGAAAUGAUUGGUGGUUUGGGUACAUAAGGUGGUGGCUUUACAGUAGGAGGCUUUGGUGGUAAAGUUGGUGGGGAAAUGAUUGGUGGUUUGGGUACAUAAGGUGGUGGCUUUACAGUAGGAGGUUUUGGUAUAUGGGGUGGAUAUACAAUUGGAGGCUUGACAACCGGUGGUUUGGGUACGGUUGGUGGUUUGACAACGGGUGGUUUGGGUACAUAAGGUGGCGGCUUUACAGUAGGAGGUUUUGGUACAUGGGGUGGAUAUACAAUUGGAGGCUUGACAACCGGUGGUUUUGGUACGGUUGGUGGUUUGACAACGGGUGGUUUGGGAACCACCGGAGGUUUGGGUGGCUUAGGUGGGUAGUGUUUGGGAGGUUUAUGGUGAGAGGGUGGCUUUACCUUAGGAGGGUGUUUGGGUGGGAACUUAGGAGGAUGCUUCGGUGAAGGUGGAGUUGGGUAAGGACAGUAAGGGCAAGCAAGAGAAGGGAUCAAAGAGCCUAAGUUGAGAAGGAGAAACAAGAGAUUUACAAGAACAAGCUUGGCCAUUGUAGCUGUCUCCUUCAGUGGCUUCUCAGUGAAUGAAGU